CCCCUCUCAGAAUCACACCUGGAAAGUUUCCAGUGUUCUACCAGUCUUGGCCAAGGGAGGGAGAGUCAAGCAGAAGCAUACCCAUUUCAUUCCUAGCUUGUCCAGUGGCCAGCGAGUGGAAGGCAAUCAGCUACAAGU
Molecule: small nucleolar RNA, 138 nt
Organism: Tachyglossus aculeatus (Australian echidna)
Lineage: Eukaryota; Metazoa; Chordata; Mammalia; Monotremata; Tachyglossidae
Source: RefSeq, a predicted model, not a curated record